Non-coding RNA from Pelobates cultripes (western spadefoot toad), 226 nucleotides. The record is from the annotation of a GenBank genome assembly. NCBI's taxonomy places the organism in Eukaryota, Metazoa, Chordata, Amphibia, Anura, Pelobatidae.
GUAAAACAUCAUACCAUCCAAUUUUAAAUUCCUCUUUUUUUCUGGUUAGGUUCCGGUCCUUACACUGCAAGUUGUGAGUCUGAAGGGUUCUCAACAGGAAUGAUUAAGUGGCACGUUUACUGAAGAUCAAGGUAUCACAACAACAUUUUGACCUCUGAUGAGGUCUUCAUCAAGCUUGAUAAAGACCUCAUUUGAGGUCAAAACUUUACUGUAAUACUUGAUCUUC